AACGAACGCUGGCGGCAUGCCUAACACAUGCAAGUCGAACGAGACCUUCGGGUCUAGUGGCGCACGGGUGCGUAACGCGUGGGAACCUGCCCUUAGGUUCGGAAUAACUCCCCGAAAGGGGUGCUAAUACCGGAUAAUGUCUUCGGACCAAAGAUUUAUCGCCUUUGGAUGGGCCCGCGUUGGAUUAGCUAGUUGGUAGGGUAAAAGCCUACCAAGGCGACGAUCCAUAGCUGGUCUGAGAGGAUGAUCAGCCACACUGGGACUGAGACACGGCCCAGACUCCGACGGGAGGCAGCAGUGGGGAAUAUUAGACGAGGGGCGAAAGCCUGAUACAGCAAUGCCGCGUGAGUGAUGAAGGCCUUAGGGUUGUAAAGCUCUUUUACCCGAGAUGAUAAUGACAGUACCGGGAGAAUAAGCUCCGGCUAACUCCGUG
This 433-nucleotide ribosomal RNA is filed under the name uncultured bacterium. Its description in RNAcentral is "partial 16S ribosomal RNA". It matches the Rfam family "Bacterial small subunit ribosomal RNA", at positions 29 to 507 of the family's 1533-position model. The record is from RNAcentral.